CCUACGGGAGGCUGCAGUGGGGAAUAUUGGGCAAUGGAGGAAACUCUGACCCAGCAACGCCGCGUGAAUGAUGAAGGUCCUCGGAUUGUUAAGUUCUUUUCUAAGGGAAGAAGAAAGUGACGGUACCUUAGGAAUAAGCCUCGGCUAACUACGUGCCAGCAGCCGCGGUAAUACGUAGGAGGCAAGCGUUAUCCGGAAUGACUGGGCGGAAAGGGUGCGUAGGGGGUUUGAUAAGGUGGUAGCGUAACUCCGAGGCUCAACCUCGGCACUACUACCAAAACUGUCGGACUUGAGUGCAGGAGAGGCAACUGGAAUUCCUAGUGUAGCGGUGGAAUGCGUAGAUAUUAGGAGGAACACCAGUGGCGAAGGCGAGUUGCUGGACUGUAACUGACACUGAGGCACGAAAGCGUGGGGAGCAAACAGGAUUAGAUACCCCUGUAGUC
RNAcentral lists this ribosomal RNA (443 nucleotides) under uncultured bacterium. RNAcentral's name for it is "partial 16S ribosomal RNA". It matches the Rfam family "Bacterial small subunit ribosomal RNA", at positions 338 to 795 of the family's 1533-position model. The record is from RNAcentral.